UUUCCGGUAAGCGGGUUGGUCAUGUCUGCCAGAAAGGCUCGCUCGGUGGCGAACCCUUUGGAGUCUGCUAUCACUUCACCGAGUGAGAGGAUACUGAAAGAAUGUCACAGUUUGUAUGUUGACAGCGAAAACGGCCUGGUAAAGAUUGCCAGCAGCCAAGGAGUACGCCUUCUUCCCCCCAGAAAGAAGAUUAUUGUGAUGAUCAUGGGGAACCAUUCUGCCGGAAAAAGCUCCUUCAUCAACUGGUAUGUUGAGGAGCAUAUCCAAAAAACUGGUGUUGCCAUUGAAACGCAGGGCUUCACAUUCAUCACAAGUGGGCGUAAAAGAGAAUCAUUGACGGGGAAUGCAACACUUCAUCUAUACCCCCAUUUUCGACCGCUCCUUGAGUUUAAAGGUGUUAUGGACUAUCUAUCUGCUGAGAUAUCCACCUCCAAGCAGAAGAAGUUCAGCCUUGUGACCUUUGUGGACACACCAGGCUUAGUGGAUGGGGACAUGAUCUACCCUUUUAAUGUUAACAGCGCCAUCACAUGGUUAGGAGAGCAGUCGGACCUGAUAUUUGUGUUCUUUGACCCCAUGGGUCAGGCGCUGUGCAAGCGCACGCUGAACAUUGUGGAGAAGCUGAGUGAGAAGUGUGGGGACAAGCUGUUGUUCUACCUCAGCAAAGCUGACGAAGCUGGAAAGGAAACCGAUCGACAAAGAGUGAUGAUGCAGAUUGUCCAGGAAUUGUGCCGCCGCCCAGGUCUCAACAAAUGUGGUUUUGAAAUGCCAACAAUAUAUAUCCCUAACCCGCAGAAGCCAAACCGCUGUGUGAACCAAAUCGACGGAGUUUGUCAGACCAUCGAAAAGACCAUCAACCAGGCUGUGCAGAGAACUUUGGACCAGUUAGAAAAAGACUGUGAUCUAAUUUGCUUUACCAUCAGCAGCAGACUACAACAGGACAGAACUGAUGCCUCAUACAACAAAAGCGUUCGACUGCACUCGUUCGUAUGUGGUGCUAUGGGAGUUGUCCUUCCUCUGCUCUUCAUUCUCAGUUUCAUUCUGAGCACUUUCCCCAAGGAGCAGCUGAGUAAUCUGAUGGGAGAGGGGCUGGCACACACCCUUUCUGUCUGUACAGGAAUUGUGAUGUACCUAUGGGAGUGGAUUCCGGAAGAUGGGCAAGUUGUCUUUGUGAUCCUUUUUGGAGCCUUUUGUUACCUCCUACUUUUCCUCUCUAAAUACUUCUCUGGUCAAGGAAACAAGACUCUAACAAAGAAGGAGAAGAGAGUGAUGACAGAGUACAGUGAUUAUAUCCAGGAUAUCGUCAAAGCCAAAAAGGGUAAAUUGUAUGAAUGGUACCUCCAGCAAUGUGCUGCAGAAUAUGACCUUUGACUCCGGUCCACUUGCAUUGGAGCCAAAUGGUGCAGUACUUGGCCAGAUCCAGCAGAGAGAGCUGCACCUGCAUUGGUGGAAUACCCCGUUACAUUAUGUAAUUUUUUUAACCAUCGAACAGGUCAGCAGAGCUUUUUUAAACGGGACUGUCUCGACCCCAAUGAUGGAGACGGAGUGGGCCUUGUCCGUCAGAGCUGCAGCCACCUCCAUACCUGCCAACAGUCUCAAUCAACACUUAAAAUGUUGAGACUUUAGGCCUGUCAUAAGGAGGAUGUCUGUCCAUGGUGCACAUGACGAUGCGGUCCGUGAAGCCCUCUUGCCUCAGCGUCUCCGCACACACCAGACCUGCUGGACCUGCACACAUCAAUCAUCACUCAGAUCUUUGACAUGGCAGACGGAGGCCUCCACGUAGUCCCGUGAUUUGUGGUACGCUUGGAGAGGGGUGGAGUCGUCGUCCGAGCUGUGCCCCAGGGCCCCAUUUGGCCUGCAGUCCGCAAAGGGACUUGCCUUGCCAUUAGGAACAGAUCUCAGCUAAAAGAGGCAGCCCAAACUCGAAUUGAGGACAAAUCAAGUGUGACAACUCCUUCAGUGAAACAAAUGGAAGAUGGGAUAAGGUGUCUGGACUAAUUUAAAGGGCAAAAAUGCCUUCUUUCUUGCUUUUUUUCUCAUUCAUUCCACAGUCUUAAAGCUCAUGAACUGUCUUCUAAGCAGCAAAACAUUUAACAUGGGAAUAUUUUAGUGCUGUCAAACAAUUUUGAAUUUGUAAUCAGAUUAAUUACAAUGAAUCACAAUUAGACAUAUUAUUCAUUUUCAUAUAUAUUAAUGGUGAUUUUGCAUGUGCAAAUAGACUCAAAAAAGAGGGUAAAAUACAGUGGAACCUCGAUUCACAAACUUAAUUGGUUCUAAAACAGGGUUCGUAAAUUGAAAAUUUCAUAUAGCGAUGCACAAUACUCCAUAAGAAACAAUGCAAAUAUAAAUAAUGGGUUCCAGCCUCAAUAAAAGUCCAUAUUUAUGUGGUUUGUACACUUUGAACACAUGAAGUGCUAUACAGAAUUAUAUAUCAAAGAAACAUAACAAGGGGGUGAUGGAUCAACUUUAGAUUUAGUAACAGGCCAAAACGACGACAACUGUGGCAGGGGACAGUGGCAGCGAUUAUCUUUUCAAACGCUGGUCUUUUUUGGCGAUGUACAUCCAUUUUCUUCUUUACAUUGUUCCUGAUGCCCAACCUUUUUUUUUUAAAUUAUUUUUAGCCUAUGUGCGGUUUUCUGUAGCAGGAGAAAGAAACUCCUCCUUCUGAGUUAUCAAUGGGCAGCGCUUGCUGUUCUCAAUCACAUGGCUACUUUCAAUAUGGUUUGCAUAUAUAUAAAGGAGCGAGGUCUGGGUGUGCAAAUCUAGGCAGACAUCUGCGGUUGAUUCCAAGUAGAUUGUGAUGUAACAAAUGAAUAUGCUUGGAUUUUUGCGUGCGAACACUUUCAUACAUCUGAAGUUUUACUGACGUACGCCAUUUCCUGGAUUUGUUAGUACGUCCAUAUUUCGUAGGAAAGCCACGCAACUCUCUGAACAUGAGGCCCUUGUUCUACAGAAUGUACAUAGUACUUUACAUGACUGUUCAGUCAUGUUUUUUUGUACUCAUAUUUCGGAUAGAGAGGAUCACAUUGACAGCAGCCUGUCAUUACCGAAUCAACUGCACAUUUGUGACAGUAACACUACUUGGACAAACUGCCUGAAGUGCAUUGCUGGAGACGAUAAGGGAUUUUGAGGAAUUAUUCGCAGCAGAUGUGUCAAUGACAUUACAUGUUUUAAUGAAAUUAAUAAUAACAAAUGAAUCCGUAUUAAAACAUUCCUUUUUGACAGCCUUAAAAUAUUUAUAUAUUUAAAUUAAGUCUAUUUAAAUGUAAAUUGUAUUAUCUAAAUGUCAUUUUAAUGAUAGUAUAGUACAAUUUAGCAAACUAUAUAUGAACUAUGGUUGACUCGAUACCAAUAUUUUGGUACCGGUACCAAAAUGUAUUUUGAUGCUUUUCAAUACUUUUUUUAAAUAAAGGGGACCUAAAAAAAAUUGCAUUAUAGGCUUUGUUUUAACACAAAAAAAUUAUGGUACAAUAAACAUGUUUCUUAUUGCAAUCGAAGAAUAAUCUUGUCAUUAAAUAAAAUAGUGAACAUAGUCUCCUGAAACUGCGGAAGUUAGUUUGCUUAAAAGAAACAUCAGUUUUUCUGACUUUUAAUAGUAAGUAAACAAACAAAGGCUCCUAAUUUGUCUGCUGACGUAUGCAGUAACAUAUUGUGUCAUUUCUCAUUCUAUUAUUUUAUCAAAAUUAUAAAGAACAAGCUGUAAAAACUGAUUACUAAUAUACUUGUUAAUUUACUGGUCAUAUCUGGUUAUUUUUAGUCUCAACAUCAUCUAUCUACACUUCUGUUAAAAUGUAAUAAUCACUUAUUCUUCUGUUGUUUGGAUACUUUACAUCAGUUUUGGAUGAUACCACAAAUUUAGGUAAUGAUCCGAUACCAAGUCGUUAAAGGGUCAUACAUUGUUCAUAAUUUAAGUUCUCGUGUCCAGGGACAGUGUAUGAAUAUAAUAUGAAUUUAAAAAUAAACUUUUUUUUCCCCGAUAAAAAAUACUAAUGUAAUCAUAGUAGUAUCGAUUAGAUACGCUCUUGUACUUGGUAUCAUUACAGUGGAUGUUAGGUGUAGAUCCACCCAUGGCGUUUGUUUACAUCGUGACGCCGGUGAGCUAUUGUAUCCUAUUCCUCGUCCUGCAGGGAUGAUACUUGUAAGAAACGUACUUUAUUUGUUGCCAUGGAGGCGAGGAUAAGUAAUUUAGAAGUAGCUACAACACUGCCCAUUGCGGAUGGACAUUAGCCGCUAACUCGCUGGCCAGGUUUUAAAGCACAUCUACCGGAGGGUAUUUCAGUGUUAUAGCUUCACCUUUAUCGUUAGUUUUUAAGCCAAAAUGCGUCUGUCUACACACUGUGUCUGGUUGUAAGUACUCAGUGAUUGUGCGCUGCCGAAGAAGCUCAUCUGCUCGUAAAGCCAGCAAUGUCAUGACGUGACAACGACUUGCCGUCAUGCCUGAAAAAAAAAAAAAAUAUAUAUAUAUAUAUG
Molecule: RNA transcript, 4467 nt
Organism: Nerophis ophidion (straightnose pipefish)
Lineage: Eukaryota; Metazoa; Chordata; Actinopteri; Syngnathiformes; Syngnathidae
Exons: 17
Source: RefSeq, a predicted model, not a curated record